UACAAGUAAAUUCAAAAAAAA
RNAcentral lists this non-coding RNA (21 nucleotides) under Caenorhabditis elegans. Lineage: Eukaryota; Metazoa; Nematoda; Chromadorea; Rhabditida; Rhabditidae. The record is from RNAcentral.